GGGAAGGUGGCUCAGUGGUAGAGUGCUUGCCUUGCAUGCAUGAGGCCCUGGGUUCGAUUCCUCCCCA
This 67-nucleotide transfer RNA is filed under the name Dipodomys ordii (Ord's kangaroo rat). It matches the Rfam family "tRNA". Rfam says of the family: Transfer RNA (tRNA) molecules are approximately 80 nucleotides in length. Their secondary structure includes four short double-helical elements and three loops (D, anti-codon, and T loops). Further hydrogen bonds mediate the characteristic L-shaped molecular structure. tRNAs have two regions of fundamental functional importance: the anti-codon, which is responsible for specific mRNA codon recognition, and the 3' end, to which the tRNAs corresponding amino acid is attached (by aminoacyl-tRNA synthetases). tRNAs cope with the degeneracy of the genetic code in two manners: having more than one tRNA (with a specific anti-codon) for a particular amino acid; and 'wobble' base-pairing, i.e. permitting non-standard base-pairing at the 3rd anti-codon position. Lineage: Eukaryota; Metazoa; Chordata; Mammalia; Rodentia; Heteromyidae. The record is from Rfam by way of RNAcentral.